GAAUUCGCCCUUAGAGUUUGAUCCUGGCUCAGGACGAACGCUGGCGGCGCGCCUAACACAUGCAAGUCGAACGAGCGAGAGAGAGCUUGCUUUCUCGAGCGAGUGGCGAACGGGUGAGUAACGCGUGAGGAACCUGCCUCAAAGAGGGGGACAACAGUUGGAAACGACUGCUAAUACCGCAUAAGCCCACGGGUCGGCAUCGACCAGAGGGAAAAGGAGCAAUCCGCUUUGAGAUGGCCUCGCGUCCGAUUAGCUAGUUGGUGAGGUAACGGCCCACCAAGGCAACGAUCGGUAGCCGGACUGAGAGGUUGAACGGCCACAUUGGGACUGAGACACGGCCCAGACUCCUACGGGAGGCAGCAGUGGGGAAUAUUGCACAAUGGGGGAAACCCUGAUGCAGCGACGCCGCGUGGAGGAAGAAGGUCUUCGGAUUGUAAACUCCUGUUGUUGGGGAAGAUAAUGACGGUACCCAACAAGGAAGUGACGGCUAACUACGUACCAGCAGCCGCGGUAAAACGUAGGUCACAAGCGUUGUCCGGAAUUACUGGGUGUAAAGGGAGCGCAGGCGGGAAGACAAGUUGGAAGUGAAAUCUAUGGGCUCAACCCAUAAACUGCUUUCAAAACUGUUUUUCUUGAGUAGUGCAGAGGUAGGCGGAAUUCCCGGUGUAGCGGUGGAAUGCGUAGAUAUCGGGAGGAACACCAGUGGCGAAGGCGGCCUACUGGGCACCAACUGACGCUGAGGCUCGAAAGUGUGGGUAGCAAACAGGAUUAGAUACCCUGGUAGUCCACACCGUAAACGAUGAUUACUAGGUGUUGGAGGAUUGACCCCUUCAGUGCCGCAGUUAACACAAUAAGUAAUCCACCUGGGGAGUACGACCGCAAGGUUGAAACUCAAAGGAAUUGACGGGGGCCCGCACAAGCAGUGGAGUAUGUGGUUUAAUUCGACGCAACGCGAAGAACCUUACCAAGUCUUGACAUCCCUUGACAGGCAUAGAAAUAUGUUUUCUCUUCGGAGCAAGGAGACAGGUGGUGCAUGGUUGUCGUCAGCUCGUGUCGUGAGAUGUUGGGUUAAGUCCCGCAACGAGCGCAACCCUUAUGGUCAGUUACUACGCAAGAGGACUCUGGCCAGACUGCCGUUGACAAAACGGAGGAAGGUGGGGAUGACGUCAAAUCAUCAUGCCCUUUAUGACUUGGGCUACACACGUACUACAAUGGCGUUAAACAAAGAGAAGCGAGACCGCGAGGUGGAGCAAAACUCAGAAACAACGUCCCAGUUCGGACUGCAGGCUGCAACUCGCCUGCACGAAGUCGGAAUUGCUAGUAAUCGUGGAUCAGCAUGCCACGGUGAAUACGUUCCCGGGCCUUGUACACACCGCCCGUCA
RNAcentral lists this ribosomal RNA (1382 nucleotides) under uncultured bacterium. RNAcentral describes it as "bacterial SSU rRNA". It matches the Rfam family "Bacterial small subunit ribosomal RNA". The record is from RNAcentral.